GAAUUCAGAAGACAUGUGUCCAGUUCCACAAAACACUCCUUGCCUUCAGCUUUUGCUCAUUAGACAAUAAUGCAGGUUUAGAGACAGAUGAACAAUUUGAUCUUAACAGGCAAUGAGUUGUUGGGAUAGCAGUGAGUUGUGUGCUGUACUUUUGACUUUGUAUAUUUUUUAAGUGGAAUUCAAAGUUGGGUACUUUUUUUUUUUUAACGAAAGCCAUACACAUGGUUGUUCUCUUUCUUUUUGUAGCUUAGCUAAGGCUCAUUUGCCCGUGAACCUGUGAGUAUUCCACAAGCUACGGAAGUGAGAGAGGAGCUUCAGCAAAGCAGAGUAUUAGCAAAUUAAUCACAAAACAUUUAUACCUAGCACUUUUUAUAAAGUACAAAAGUUGUAAGGAAGCCAGUCUCCAUUUAUGAAUGUCAUGUUCUAGGAGUUGUUAACUGCUUGGAAAUCAGAAUUUAUUCUCUAUGACGGGAUCCAUGGUGCAGUUAUGAAAACAAGUUUACCCCACACUGUAUUCAAACUCUGCUCUAGUACCAGCUUAAUUACAGGUCCCAAGAAUAAAAGAUGAGAGAAUGUACAUCUGUUCUCUACCUACAGUUUUGUCAGAGGGUUUCAGUCCCCUCGCAUCGUCUUUUCUCUAGACCACCCCUAGGCCUACAGGGGUCUUCAGCCCAUCUCCAUUCC
This 684-nucleotide long non-coding RNA is filed under the name Bos taurus (domestic cattle). Its description in RNAcentral is "long non-coding RNA NONBTAT025745". Lineage: Eukaryota; Metazoa; Chordata; Mammalia; Artiodactyla; Bovidae. The record is from RNAcentral.